Molecule: ribosomal RNA, 494 nt
Filed under: uncultured bacterium
Lineage: Bacteria
Description: partial 16S ribosomal RNA
Rfam family: Bacterial small subunit ribosomal RNA
Source: RNAcentral
GACGAACGCUGGCGGCGGGCUUAACACAUGCAAGUCGAACGGUGAAGCGCCUUCCUUUUUGGUGGGUGUGGAUGAGUGGCGAACGGGUGAGGAACACGUGAGGAACCUGCCCCCUUCUUCUGGAUAACCGCAUGAAAGUGUGGCUAAUACGGGAUAUUCUGGGUCUGUCGCAUGAUGGGUCUGGGAAAGAUAGUGUUUCGGUGGGGGAUGGGCUCGCGGCCUAUCAGCUUGUUGGUGAGGUGAUGGCCUACCAAGGCGGUGACGGGUAGCCGGCAUGAGAGGGUGGACGGUAAUACUGGGACUGAGAGACGGCCAAGACUCCUGCGGGAGGCAGCAGUGGGGAAUAGUGCACAGUGGGAGCAAGGCUGAUGCAGCGACGCCGCGUGAGGGAUGGAGGCCUUCGGGUUGUGCACCUCUUUCGCCAGUGAAGCAGGCCUGCCUCGUUUGUGGGUGGGUUGACGGUAGCUGGAUAAGAAGCGCCGGCUAACUACGUG